AUUUAUAUAAUUUAAAAUAAAAUAUUACAUUUUCAAUGUAAAAAUAAAAUUAAUAUUUUUAUAAAUA
Molecule: transfer RNA, 67 nt
Filed under: Kozhantshikovia vernalis
Lineage: Eukaryota; Metazoa; Arthropoda; Insecta; Lepidoptera; Psychidae
Description: tRNA-Glu
Source: RNAcentral